RNAcentral lists this ribosomal RNA (500 nucleotides) under uncultured Glomeromycotina. RNAcentral's name for it is "partial small subunit ribosomal RNA". It matches the Rfam family "Eukaryotic small subunit ribosomal RNA", at positions 591 to 1092 of the family's 1831-position model. The record is from RNAcentral. Lineage: Eukaryota; Fungi; Glomeromycota.
CCAAUAGCGUAUAUUAAAGUUGUUGCAGUUAAAAAGCUCGUAGUUGAAUUUCGGGAUCAGCGCGUCGGUCGUGCCUCCGGUAUGCACUGGCGCCGCUGGUUUCUCCCCUCUGAGGAACCGUGAUGUCAUUAAUUUGGUGUCGCGGGAAAUCAGGACUGUUACUUUGAAAAAAUUAGAGUGUUUAAAGCGGGCACGCGCUUGAAUACAUUAGCAUGGAAUAACGAAAUAGGACGUUCGAUCUUAUUUUGUUGGUUUCUAGGAUUGACGUAAUGAUUAAUAGGGAUAGUUGGGGGCAUUAGUAUUCAAUUGUCAGAGGUGAAAUUCUUGGAUUUAUUGAAGACUAACUACUGCGAAAGCAUUUGCCAAGGAUGUUUUCAUUAAUCAAGAACGAAAGUUAGGGGAUCGAAGACGAUCAGAUACCGUCGUAGUCUUAACCAUAAACUAUGCCGACUAGGGAUCGGAUGAUGUUAAUUUUAUAAUGACUCAUUCGGCGCCUUACG